Molecule: small RNA, 29 nt
Filed under: Bombyx mori (domestic silkworm)
Lineage: Eukaryota; Metazoa; Arthropoda; Insecta; Lepidoptera; Bombycidae
Description: piRNA piR-bmo-1924418
Source: RNAcentral
UAGAGAACAUUCUGCACCUUGAUAGUUUC